Molecule: long non-coding RNA, 599 nt
Filed under: Bos indicus x Bos taurus (hybrid cattle)
Lineage: Eukaryota; Metazoa; Chordata; Mammalia; Artiodactyla; Bovidae
Description: lncRNA (ENSBIXG00000024348.1)
Source: RNAcentral
AACUGUCAUGGGUCCCGUGAGGGUAUCAUUUAGCAUAUGCUAAUAUAUUAUAGCGAGUGUAUAAUGAAGCUCAAAGUUCACUGGAGGUUGAAUCUUCUGUCAUCUUGGACCUGGUCAGUUCUAACCAGUUUUUGUCAUGUCAUAUGGCUAUGCCAUUCUUUUAAAGGUUGUUUUCUGAUUCCCUCCCUCCAGUUUCACAACUACCUUCUUCAGAUGAGCACCUGACAGACAGGCCCAGAUUCCCGCAGCUGACAGCUAGCCCUGUGUUGCGGCUUCUCUGCGGAAACCAGCCUGUCAGAUGGAAGGGCAUGAAGCUCCAGGGCAGAUCCUGCGUGGACUGAGGAGCUUCAUGGGACCACGGAUGGUUUCUGUCACAGUCACAUCAACCCCCACAAGGUGUGUUUUGCUCUGGCAUCAUAUUUCCUGGCAUUUGGUGAGUGAGAGGAUGAUGUGUUCAAUUCACUUUUAUUCUGACUCAUUUGUGGGAAGGGAAAUUUAAUUCUCUGGGAACCCUUGUUUGUAUUAGUGUUAAAUCAUUUGUCUGCUGUUUAAUGAUUUAUACACACUGUGCAAAGAGGUCCCAGAAUUGCUUUCCUGAU